Molecule: unclassified non-coding RNA, 774 nt
Filed under: Hevea brasiliensis (rubber tree)
Lineage: Eukaryota; Viridiplantae; Streptophyta; Magnoliopsida; Malpighiales; Euphorbiaceae
Source: RNAcentral
UAAGUGGAAUUUCCAAAUGAAUUCUAAAAAAUUUACCACACAUUUUUAUGACAAUUACCCAUGCUUUCAUCUUUUAUUUGUUUCCCAUUUUUUCACCCUCAUCUAUUCAUCUGUGUAUUUUGACUUUUUUUUUUUAACGACUAUGGGACAUUGAUGCAUUGUUUAACGAUAGAUAAUAAGUCAUAAGGAAAAGAUGUGUCAUUGAUAGAUAUUAUUUUGUCAUUCUAAAUUAUUAAUUUACAUAGUAAUAGAUAUGGUUCUUAAUAAAAAAACACAAAUACAACAUUAUUAUGUUAAGUAAAAUAAAUAUAAUUAUGAAUUUAUUAUUUAUUUUAUGAGAUUAAUAUGUCAAGGAUAUUUUAGGAAAUAAAUGUAAAUGAAUCUUCCAUUCUGCAUUAAUUCAAAACAUGAUUUUUUGGAAUUCAAUUCAAAUACAUGUUUUAAGUUUUAACAUACCAAACAUGAAAAUUCAAUUUCAUAUGAAUUCUACCUUGAAUUUAUUCUGCAUUUUGAAUUCUAGCAUGCCAAAUGGGGGCUGCGAGUCAAAAUUAUUUCAACCGGAGUUUGAGUUUUAUAUUAUUUGCAUCUCUCUAUGGUAUAUGUGGUUAUUAGCAUUACUCACUUUUCUCUUCCCUUUUCUUUAAUCUCAAAUGUAGAAAGUGUGAAGUGCUUAUAUUGAACUUAACAACAUUUUUGUCUAUGCAGGUUGGUGAUUCUUGCGGUGAAUCUCCCACCAGAGGGAAGCCUGCAUGUACCAAGUUUACUAGGAUCAGC